GAGAGAGAGCGGGAACGUUAGUCGUUAGGAAAGCUUCCUGAACUCUCCACGUGUUGGAGACGACUGCGGUACAUUUUGAGCCAACGAGAGAAAAGUUAUUGAAGCAAAACUAUCCUGGUGUUGGUCAGGCGGCACUGGCCCGUCUGCAACUUGUACAAAACUCUGCUGCCCGACCCUUGACUAGAACCCGCAGGGGCGAACAUAUCACCCCGAUUUUAGCAUCUCUUCACUGGCUCCCGAACUGCUUCAGCCUUACAGUCCAACCAGAACCCUCAGAUCAGCUGACCACCUGCUUCUAGUAGUCCCAAGAUCAAGGCUGAAGCUUAGGGGUUUAGGGGUGCAUUUGCGGUAAUGGCGCCCAGGCUGUGGAACCAAUUACCACUUACUAUUAGACAGGCCCCCUCACUUAUGGAUUUUAAAUCACGCCUUAAAACAUUUUAUUUUUCUUCAGCUUUUAAUGUGCAAUGACAGUUUAUGACCUCACCUUUUAUUUAUUUUA
Molecule: long non-coding RNA, 499 nt
Organism: Corythoichthys intestinalis (scribbled pipefish)
Lineage: Eukaryota; Metazoa; Chordata; Actinopteri; Syngnathiformes; Syngnathidae
Exons: 4
Source: RefSeq, a predicted model, not a curated record